AACGAACGCUGGCGGCAUGCCUAACACAUGCAAGUCGAACGAGAUCCUUCGGGGUCUAGUGGCGCACGGGUGCGUAACGCGUGGGAAUCUGCCCAAAGGUACGGAAUAACUCGGGGAAACUCGUGCUAAUACCGUAUGAUGUCGAAAGACCAAAGAUUUAUCGCCUUUGGAUGAGCCCGCGUAGGAUUAGCUAGUUGGUGGGGUAAAGGCCUACCAAGGCGACGAUCCUUAGCUGGUCUGAGAGGAUGAUCAGCCACACUGGGACUGAGACACGGCCCAGACUCCUACGGGAGGCAGCAGUGGGGAAUAUUGGACAAUGGGCGAAAGACCUGAUCCAGCAAUGCCGCGUGAGUGAAGAAGGCC
RNAcentral lists this ribosomal RNA (363 nucleotides) under uncultured bacterium. RNAcentral's name for it is "bacterial SSU rRNA". It matches the Rfam family "Bacterial small subunit ribosomal RNA", at positions 29 to 416 of the family's 1533-position model. The record is from RNAcentral.